AAAAAGUCUUAUCCUAAGAUGAUUCGAGGCAUCGAACCACCUAAUCCGUCACGUGACUACCAGUACAACCACCAACACCACCACCACCUGAAGGGGCCAUGCAGCCGAAUAACAGGAAAACUCAAGGACACAGUUCAUGACUCCUUAUUUGCGUGAAUCGGCUCUCGAAAUAAACUUGCAGUGUUCCACAAAUCAAGACGAGAGGUGUCACGAUAAUGUGACCGCUAACCACUAACACCAAGCGAGGAGCCUUACCUCAGACUACGCAGAUAUAUCCCAUGCAACUACCACCACAACCAUUACCUCUUUACUCGCCAUGUGUUCCUGUCCAGGAUCCAUUGUCCGCCAUCCACCCCCACGUCUCUCCUGGAACAUUGGUGACGGGAAAGUGGUUUGUGAAAUAAAACAUAAACCAAUGAACCUGUAGUCUGAUAUUCGGUUUACAUGAUA
This is a long non-coding RNA of Scylla paramamosain (green mud crab), 450 nucleotides long. RefSeq lists it as uncharacterized. The record is from RefSeq and is a predicted model, not a curated record. The transcript has 3 exons. Lineage: Eukaryota; Metazoa; Arthropoda; Malacostraca; Decapoda; Portunidae.